Molecule: unclassified non-coding RNA, 284 nt
Filed under: fungal sp.
Lineage: Eukaryota; Fungi
Description: partial internal transcribed spacer region
Rfam family: Eukaryotic small subunit ribosomal RNA (bases 1-46)
Source: RNAcentral
AAGUCGUAACAAGGUUUCCGUAGGUGAACCUGCGGAAGGAUCAUUAAAAAUCCAACCUGGGCCGAAAGGUCCUACUACACCUGUGAACUGUUAUACUUCUGGCUUCUUCCCUGGCUAGUUCUAGUACCUGUUGACUGAGCUCUUGGGCUUGGUUAGCGUGGGAAUGAAUCCAGGGAGUAGUCUAUAUUAACCCUGUUAUAAGUUAUCUUGUUUAAGCUUAAUUCGCAGCCGAAAGGCGGAAUUUUAAAUAAAUACAACUUUCAACAACGGAUCUCUUGGCUCUC